Non-coding RNA from Puma concolor (puma), 337 nucleotides. The record is from RefSeq and is a predicted model, not a curated record. NCBI's taxonomy places the organism in Eukaryota, Metazoa, Chordata, Mammalia, Carnivora, Felidae.
CAGACCAUCUACUUCCGGACCAUGGGUGCCGGUGGGAAACGGAAGCCGCAGAAAGCGGAUCGGCGGAUAAGCGGGGCACAUUGAAUGUGAGACUCUCUUGAACUAUAAAGUGGAUCUCAACAAGGCGAGCAGCGAACGAGCAACCGUCAGCAAUCAAUGAGAGUUUCUGUUGUUCCACCUCUUCCUCGCCAUUUGGUAUUGUCCGUGUUGUGGAUAUUAGCCAUUCUAAUAGAUUGGAUAGUCUCCACUGAUGUCUUCAAAUUUCCUGAAUCUGGGGGCGCCUGGGUGGCGCAGUCGGUUAAGCGUCCGACUUCAGCCAGGUCACGAUCUCGCGGUC